This 292-nucleotide ribosomal RNA is filed under the name uncultured bacterium. RNAcentral describes it as "partial 16S ribosomal RNA". It matches the Rfam family "Bacterial small subunit ribosomal RNA", at positions 505 to 796 of the family's 1533-position model. The record is from RNAcentral.
GUGUCAGCCGCCGCGGUAAUACGUAGGGUGCGAGCGUUAAUCGGAAUUACUGGGCGUAAAGCGUGCGCAGGCGGAUUGUUAAGCAAGAUGUGAAAUCCCCGGGCUUAACCUGGGAAUGGCAUUUUGAACUGGCAGUCUAGAGUGUGUCAGAGGGGGGUGGAAUUCCACGUGUAGCAGUGAAAUGCGUAGAUAUGUGGAGGAACACCAAUGGCGAAGGCAGCCCCCUGGGAUAACACUGACGCUCAUGUACGAAAGCGUGGGUAGCAAACAGGAUUAGAAACCCCCGUAGUCC